Molecule: ribosomal RNA, 253 nt
Filed under: uncultured bacterium
Lineage: Bacteria
Description: partial 16S ribosomal RNA
Rfam family: Bacterial small subunit ribosomal RNA
Source: RNAcentral
UACGGAGGGGGCUAGCGUUGUUCGGAAUUACUGGGCGUAAAGGGAGCGUAGGCGGGUUAUCAAGUUGGAGGUGAAAGCCCAGGGCUCAACCUUGGAAUUGCCUUCAAAACUGAUAGCCUAGAGUAUGAUAGAGGUAUGUGGAACUCCGAGUGUAGAGGUGAAAUUCGUAGAUAUUCGGAAGAACACCAGUGGCGAAGGCGACAUACUGGGUCAUGACUGACGCUGAGGCUCGAAAGCGUGGGGAGCAAACAGG